RNAcentral lists this ribosomal RNA (253 nucleotides) under uncultured bacterium. RNAcentral's name for it is "partial 16S ribosomal RNA". It matches the Rfam family "Bacterial small subunit ribosomal RNA", at positions 524 to 776 of the family's 1533-position model. The record is from RNAcentral.
UACGUAGGGUGCGAGCGUUGUCCGGAAUUACUGGGCGUAAAGAGCUCGUAGGUGGUUUGUCGCGUUGUUCGUGAAAUCUCACGGCUUAACUGUGAGCGUGCGGGCGAUACGGGCAGACUAGAGUACUGCAGGGGAGACUGGAAUUCCUGGUGUAGCGGUGGAAUGCGCGGAUAUCAGGAGGAACACCGGUGGCGAAGGCGGGUCUCUGGGCAGUAACUGACGCUGAGGCGCGGAAGCGUGGGGAGCGAACAGG